UUAAGUAAUCUUGUCAUUCAGACACUUUAUUUACUUUCAGUCUGAUCAAUGAAACAAUUCUCAUUCUUAACAAUGGGCUAACAUUUUAGGGUAAUUUCUGUGCUUGUCAGCAAGAACCCUGCUGUUAUUUUCCAAACAUGUUUUAUUAUUCCACUUACCAAUGUUGCCGGUGUAAAAUUUUAAAUCUGAUACUUGUGUCUUUGAAAAUGAAUGCUAUGUAUUUAUAUAUUUUACAGACAUUCCUGGUCCGGUUUGAAUAAGUCAUACAAAUAAACGGGUUGGUCAUGGACUGCAGUCUAUGGACAAGGAGGCUGGACAAGGAGACUGCGGUCUAUGGACAAGGAGACUGCGGUCUAUGGACAAGGAG
This is a long non-coding RNA of Oncorhynchus tshawytscha (Chinook salmon), 367 nucleotides long. Lineage: Eukaryota; Metazoa; Chordata; Actinopteri; Salmoniformes; Salmonidae. The record is from Ensembl.